Molecule: non-coding RNA, 480 nt
Organism: Galeopterus variegatus (Sunda flying lemur)
Lineage: Eukaryota; Metazoa; Chordata; Mammalia; Dermoptera; Cynocephalidae
Source: the annotation of a RefSeq genome assembly
GUAAAACCCCUGGUGGAGACAUUUUCCCCAAGCCCACUAUUUUUCUUCCUUCAAUUGCUGAAAUGAACCUCCAUAAGGCUGGAACAUAUCUUUGUCUUCUCGAGAAUUUUUUCCCUGAUGUUAUUAAAGUGUAUUGGAAAGAAAAAAAUGGCAAUACAAUUCUGGAAUCUCAGCAGGGAAGUACCAUGAAGACUAACAACAAGUACAUGAAAUUGAGCUGGCUGACAGUGACUGAAAAGUCACUAGAUAAAGAACACAAAUGCAUCGUCAAACAUGAGAAUAAUAAAGGAGGAGUUGAUCAAGAGAUCCUCUUUUCCGCAAUAAAGAAAGGUAUGUGUAUAUAAAUGUAAGUAGAACCUCCCAGGAAACUUAUCUGAAUGGGAAUGCCCCACCUUUUUCUGCCUGGAUGUUACAUUUAAUGGUAGCAUAAAUGCUCUGCUAUUUCCCAUUGAAUUAAAAUGGUAUGGGUGUUGGAGAAAA